Molecule: unclassified non-coding RNA, 1683 nt
Filed under: Leishmania donovani
Lineage: Eukaryota; Euglenozoa; Kinetoplastea; Trypanosomatida; Trypanosomatidae
Description: gene:LdHU3.34.5860(CDS-product:hypothetical_prote in_conserved)
Source: RNAcentral
GUUUAUCGACCGCUAACGGUGAGAACCUCCUCCUUCUGCGGCACGUGGGGCCGUUGUCUUCCUCAUCGCCAGUUUGGUAGCGCUGCUGUGGAGGCUGCUGGUCAACCGGCCCUGUAGUCCCUUUCUUUUUUUUCUUACUUGUAUUGCUGCCAUUGAUCCGUACACCUCCUCCGGUGAACACCUUCGUCCAUCUUUCUCCCUGUUUCCUUCGCCUCCUCUCCCGCACGAGGCCGAGGAGCACGGGGGUCACAUGUCUUUCGCGUACCAGCGCCUGAAGAUGCGGGCGACGACGGUCGCGGUGGAUCACAUGCGCAGCUUCUGCGACGGCUGCCACCUUGUCCUCAGCGCCGUCACGCACCCAUUCAAGCGGUUUGUCGGACGCGUGAAGGCAGAGGCGCCGUGGGUGAACACUCUCGUGGCCUGCACCUUAGUGACGGCUCUCCCUCUCAUUUUUUAUCCGUACGUGAAGAAGUACGUGCUCAAUGACGAACGCGCUGCUGCCGAGGCGGAGCGCGUGCGGCUGUGCUUGCAGAAGGGCAUUGACCCGUACCCGUACAUGCACCACAAGGAGUUCGUGUACGGCAACUCGGCGCCGGUUCUGGCCAACGAGACGCAAAUUCCUCAGCGGAUCGGGUGGGAGUUCAAGGCCCUCGAGAAUUACUACAAGAGAAAAGAAGAACUUCGGCAUGAGGUGGGCGGCAACAUCGACGACACGGUACAGAAGCUUAUGACGCUCAAGAAGGAGCAGCGGAGCGCGUACGACCGCAUGCGCGGCAAGCCUGGAACGGAGCCGCGCGAUCUCAUUUUCCGCGGCCGCAACGAUGUGGACAGGCUUACGUCGUAGGCAAGGAAAGAAACGGAACAGCGCAGCACCUGCAUCCUCGAAGCGCUUCGCCCCCUCCGUUUCAAUGCGUGUGCUGAGACGGAAACGUCGAGGCGUCAUGUUUGCGUGCCUACCUUCAAUGGCUACGCGUUUUCUGCUGUACGUCUUUCAUCCUUGUUACGCUUAUUGUUUGCGAAGCGCGACUGACGGCUGUUUGUCGCCGUCGUGGUCGCAUGACUUGUACAGGAGGCAGAGGUGGAGGAGGGAGGCGCCAUGGCGUGGGCCGACUGCUUCGCUGUGACUGUAUCGCGCAGCUGGUUGUGGUGGGUGCUCAGGGCUCCUCUGUGGCACCCCCUUAGACGAAAUGGCAAGACAUUGUGCGGAGCAGCUGAGGAGAACAGGAGCGACGUCUAGCUGUUGCCCCCCUCCCUUCGACGACAGACCGUGACGCAUACACUCUGUUAAGCCGACGUCUUCGACGGAGAUGAGCCGGCGGCAGAAAGUGCAAAGACCUCUUCGGGAGCAAGAAGUCGACGCUUUCCCAGAGCGCGUCUCAGCGCUCUCGGCAGCACAUCACUGCAUGAAGCGAAGCCUGGCGUGUAGGCCAGAAACAAAGGCGAAGGCACUUCGUGACACCCCCUCUGAAUCGGUCAACAGCCUACACACCACUUCUUUGUUUCCAUCCCCGUCAAUCCGUCAGCUGUUUCUUCACUACUUCUCCUCAAUACGACCAUCCCUCCUCUCGUCCUUGCUCUGGAUUAUCCGGUUGCUGCUGCCACCGCUCUCUCUCUCUCGCGCGCUCCUCGUGCCCCAAUCUACCUCACACAUUUGACAAACAUCGCCAUUGGCGCUCUGCUCAG